UGAAAAGCUUCUCAAGUGAAGGCGAUCUGAUUCAAGCUCAGCAUUGUCUAAACUGCAUGCACUUCUUGCUAACCACUUGUCAUGUAUCCGCUGGAGGUCUCCAUUCUCUGAUAGUGUUAAAAUUGCAGUUGACAAGUCGACUGCCAACGGAGAGUCCCGAGGAAAUGCAAAACCCCACCCACUUUUGGUGAACUCUUGACCUACAAUCCUGAAUUUGCACUGGUUUGACAGGAAAAGUUCAACGUAUGGUCUUUCAUCCACCACUGCAGCUACACCCCCGUUUGCAGGACCACGUUGAAGUGCUG
RNAcentral lists this unclassified non-coding RNA (305 nucleotides) under Hevea brasiliensis (rubber tree). Lineage: Eukaryota; Viridiplantae; Streptophyta; Magnoliopsida; Malpighiales; Euphorbiaceae. The record is from RNAcentral.